Molecule: ribosomal RNA, 495 nt
Filed under: uncultured bacterium
Lineage: Bacteria
Description: partial 16S ribosomal RNA
Rfam family: Bacterial small subunit ribosomal RNA
Source: RNAcentral
GACGAACGCUGGCGGCGUGCCUAAUACAUGCAAGUAGAACGCUGAAGGAGGAGCUUGCUUCUCUGGAUGAGUUGCGAACGGGUGAGUAACGCGUAGGUAACCUGCCUGGUAGCGGGGGAUAACUAUUGGAAACGAUAGCUAAUACCGCAUAAUAGUAGAUGUUGCAUGACAUUUGCUUAAAAGGUGCAAUUGCAUCACUACCAGAUGGACCUGCGUUGUAUUAGCUAGUUGGUGAGGUAACGGCUCACCAAGGCAACGAUACAUAGCCGACCUGAGAGGGUGAUCGGCCACACUGGGACUGAGACACGGCCCAGACUCCUACGAGAGGCAGCAGUAGGGAAUCUUCGGCAAUGGACGGAAGUCUGACCGAGCAACGCCGCGUGAGUGAAGAAGGUUUUCGGAUCGUAAAGCUCUGUUGUAAGAGAAGAACGAGUGUGAGAGUGGAAAGUUCACACUGUGACGGUAUCUUACCAGAAAGGGACGGCUAACUACGUG